GACGAACGCUGGCGGCGUGGAUUAGGCAUGCAAGUCGAACGGUAUCAUCCUUUCGGGGGUGAGAGAGUGGCGAACUGGUGAGUAACACGUAGGUUAUCUACCCUCAAGACGGGGACAACCCAGGGAAACUUGGGCUAAUACCGGAUGUGAGCAACUUUUAGUUGUUUGAAAGGUGGCGUAAGCUGUCGCUUGGGGAUGAGCCUGCGUCCUAUUAGUUAGUUGGUGAGGUAACGGCUCACCUAGGCAAUGAUAGGUAGGCGGCCUUAACGGGUGGUCGCCCACACUGGGAUUGAGAUACGGCCCAGACUCCUACGGGAGGCAGCAGUCGAGAAUAGUCUACAAUGGUCGGAAGACUGAUAGUGCGACGCCGCGUGAACGAUGAAUCCCUUCGGGGUGUAAAGUUCUUUUAUAUGUGAGCAGUGCUUCUUAUAUUAACAGUAUGGGGAGAGAGAUAUUAGCAUAUGAAUAAGCAACGGCUAACUCCGUGCCAGCAGGCCGCGGU
This 502-nucleotide ribosomal RNA is filed under the name uncultured bacterium. RNAcentral describes it as "bacterial SSU rRNA". It matches the Rfam family "Bacterial small subunit ribosomal RNA", at positions 28 to 521 of the family's 1533-position model. The record is from RNAcentral.